RNAcentral lists this ribosomal RNA (253 nucleotides) under uncultured bacterium. Its description in RNAcentral is "partial 16S ribosomal RNA". It matches the Rfam family "Bacterial small subunit ribosomal RNA", at positions 524 to 776 of the family's 1533-position model. The record is from RNAcentral.
UACGUAGGGCGCGAGCGUUAUCCGGAAUUAUUGGGCGUAAAGAGUUCGUAGGCGGUUUGUCACGUCUGCUGUGAAAACUGGAGGCUCAACCUCCAGCCUGCAGUGGGUACGGGCAGACUAGAGUGCGGUAGGGGAGAUUGGAAUUCCUGGUGUAGCGGUGGAAUGCGCAGAUAUCAGGAGGAACACCGAUGGCGAAGGCAGAUCUCUGGGCCGUAACUGACGCUGAGGAGCGAAAGCAUGGGGAGCGAACAGG